Molecule: ribosomal RNA, 347 nt
Filed under: uncultured bacterium
Lineage: Bacteria
Description: partial 16S ribosomal RNA
Rfam family: Bacterial small subunit ribosomal RNA
Source: RNAcentral
GCUACGGGGUGCAGCAGUGAGGAAUAUUGGUCAAUGGACGCAAGUCUGAACCAGCCAUGCCGCGUGCAGGAUGACGGCUCUAUGAGUUGUAAACUGCUUUUGUACGAGGGUAAACCCCGAUACGUGUAUCGGGUUGAAAGUAUCGUACGAAUAAGGAUCGGCUAACUCCGUGCCAGCAGCAGCGGUAAUACGGAGGAUACGAGCGUUAUCCGGAUUUAUUGGGUUGAAAGGGUGCGUAGGCGGUUUGAUACGUUAGCGGUGAAAUGUCGGGGCUCAUCCCCGAAACUGCCUCUAAUACUGUUGGACUAGCGCAUAGUUGCGGUCGUCGGAAUGUAUGGUGUAGCGGU